GUCUAAGGCUGGGCGAGGGGAGAGGGUGCUCCACCCCGUUGCCAUCCCUAGAAAUUUUCAUACCUAUUAUUGGCAUGGAAAGAAAGCAAUGCGAAAAUUGCACGAAGAUGCAAUGCACACUGUCCGCUAUAACUUCGUUAGUGGAUUGACUGGAGGAGUCACAGAAUCAGAUAACACCCUACACACGUGACGCUACAAGAUUGCUAAUUGUGGAUUUAAGGCCAAAUUAUUGAAAAGUGCACUAACAAUGUCCCAUAAACAAGUAUAGUUGAAAGCUUCCUACCCAGAGUAUAUUGUGCAUUUACCUCUUGCCUUAUCUUAUCGACAGGAAUCAAAGAACCGAACAAGCGGUCCAUCAAACGUGGUAUCAGAGUGAGAUCACUAGAACAUAGUAGUGUUGGAUGCGAGAUUCACUGAUGGCGUGCAUUCCUACAGAAAUGAUUUUGGGAACACUGAAAACGUAGCAAAACUGCGAUAUGUGUGACAAAG
This 489-nucleotide long non-coding RNA is filed under the name Olea europaea (common olive). RNAcentral's name for it is "long non-coding RNA (OEUR_LNC013713)". The record is from RNAcentral. Lineage: Eukaryota; Viridiplantae; Streptophyta; Magnoliopsida; Lamiales; Oleaceae.